GGCCAGUUGGCCGAGCGGUCUAUGGCGCAGCACUCAAGUUAUCCUUGGACUUGUCCCAACAAGUCUUGCUGUAUCGUAAGAUGCGAGGGUUCGAAUCCCUCACUGGUCA
Schizosaccharomyces japonicus yFS275 is the source of this 109-nucleotide transfer RNA. It matches the Rfam family "tRNA". Rfam says of the family: Transfer RNA (tRNA) molecules are approximately 80 nucleotides in length. Their secondary structure includes four short double-helical elements and three loops (D, anti-codon, and T loops). The record is from Rfam. Lineage: Eukaryota; Fungi; Ascomycota; Schizosaccharomycetes; Schizosaccharomycetales; Schizosaccharomycetaceae.